GGGGAUUUAGUUCAGAGAUAGAGCGCUUGCCUAGCAAGCACAAGGCCCUGGGUUCGAUCCCCAGCUCCG
RNAcentral lists this transfer RNA (69 nucleotides) under Rattus norvegicus (Norway rat). It matches the Rfam family "tRNA". From Rfam's summary of the family: Transfer RNA (tRNA) molecules are approximately 80 nucleotides in length. The record is from Rfam by way of RNAcentral. Lineage: Eukaryota; Metazoa; Chordata; Mammalia; Rodentia; Muridae.